RNAcentral lists this microRNA (21 nucleotides) under Gallus gallus (chicken). Its description in RNAcentral is "gga-miR-12236-3p". The record is from miRBase by way of RNAcentral. Lineage: Eukaryota; Metazoa; Chordata; Aves; Galliformes; Phasianidae.
AGUGCAAAUUAUGAAUAAUGG